This 576-nucleotide ribosomal RNA is filed under the name uncultured bacterium. RNAcentral's name for it is "bacterial SSU rRNA". It matches the Rfam family "Bacterial small subunit ribosomal RNA", at positions 102 to 694 of the family's 1533-position model. The record is from RNAcentral.
ACGGGUGAGUAACACGUGGGUAACCUGCCUCAUAAAGGGGAAUAGCCUUUCGAAAGGAAGAUUAAUACCGCAUAAGAUUGUAGUACCGCAUGGUACAGCAAUUAAAGGAGCAAUCCGUUAUGAGAUGGACCCGCGUCGCAUUAGCUAGUUGGUGAGGUAACGGCUCACCAAGGCGACGAUGCGUAGCCGACCUGAGAGGGUGAUCGGCCACAUUGGGACUGAGACACGGCCCAGACUCCUACGGGAGGCAGCAGUGGGGAAUAUUGCACAAUGGGGGAAACCCUGAUGCAGCAACGCCGCGUGAGUGAUGAAGGUCUUCGGAUUGUAAAACUCUGUCUUCAGGGACGAUAAUGACGGUACCUGAGGAGGAAGCCACGGCUAACUACGUGCCAGCAGCCGCGGUAAUACGUAGGUGGCAAGCGUUGUCCGGAUUUACUGGGCGUAAAGGGAGCGUAGGUGGAUAUUUAAGUGGGAUGUGAAAUACUCGGGCUUAACCUGGGUGCUGCAUUCCAAACUGAAUAUCUAGAGUGCAGGAGAGGAAAGUAGAAUUCCUAGUGUAGCGGUGAAAUGCGUAGA